AUACGGAGGAUGCGAGCGUUAUCCGGAUUUAUUGGGUUUAAAGGGAGCGUAGGUGGGAUAUUAAGUCAGCUGUGAAAGUUUGGGGCUCAACCUUAAAAUUGCAGUUGAUACUGGUUUCCUGGAGUACGGUACAGGUGGGCGGAAUUCGUGGUGUAGAGGUGAAAUGCUUAGAUAUCACGAAGAACUCCGAUCGCGAAGGCGGCUCUCCGGGCCGGAACUGACACUGAUGCUCGAAAGUGCGGGUAUCAAACAGGAUUAGAUACCCUGGUAGUCCGCACAGUAAACGAUGAAUACUCGCUGUUUGCGAUACACGGUAAGCGGCCAAGCGAAAGCGUUAAGUAUUCCACCUGGGGAGUACGCCGGCAACGGUGAAACUCAAAGGAAUUGACGGGG
Molecule: ribosomal RNA, 393 nt
Filed under: uncultured bacterium
Lineage: Bacteria
Description: partial 16S ribosomal RNA
Rfam family: Bacterial small subunit ribosomal RNA
Source: RNAcentral